Molecule: ribosomal RNA, 497 nt
Filed under: uncultured bacterium
Lineage: Bacteria
Description: partial 16S ribosomal RNA
Rfam family: Bacterial small subunit ribosomal RNA
Source: RNAcentral
GAUGAACGCUGGCGGCGUGCCUAAUACAUGCAAGUCGAGCGAACAGAUAAGGAGCUUGCUCCUUUGACGUUAGCGGCGGACGGGUGAGUAACACGUGGGUAACCUACCUAUAAGACUGGAAUAACUCCGGGAAACCGGGGCUAAUGCCGGAUAACAUUUAGAACCGCAUGGUUCUAAAGUGAAAGAUGGUUUUGCUAUCGCUUAUAGAUGGACCCGCGCCGUAUUAGCUAGUUGGUAAGGUAACGGCUUACCAAGGCAACGAUACGUAGCCGACCUGAGAGGGUGAUCGGCCACACUGGAACUGAGACACGGUCCAGACUCCUACGGGAGGCAGCAGUAGGGAAUCUUCCGCAAUGGGCGAAAGCCUGACGGAGCAACGCCGCGUGAGUGAUGAAGGUCUUCGGAUCGUAAAACUCUGUUAUUAGGGAAGAACAAAUGUGUAAGUAACUGUGCACGUCUUGACGGUACCUAAUCAGAAAGCCACGGCUAACUACGUG